This is an RNA transcript of Hylaeus volcanicus, 2317 nucleotides long. It is a transcript of the gene named pH-sensitive chloride channel 2-like, with no coding region annotated. The transcript is spliced from 10 exons. The record is from RefSeq and is a predicted model, not a curated record. NCBI's taxonomy places the organism in Eukaryota, Metazoa, Arthropoda, Insecta, Hymenoptera, Colletidae.
AAUGUUAUCAGCAAUUCUUUACCACAACUUAUUGAACGCCUCUUUGCAUCAGCCACAAAAUUAUUCUUCAUGAAAUUACCAUAUUUUACUUUUAAAAUUGUGAAGAUAUACUCAGCUUUAUAAAUGAACUCCAACUCCUCAAUACGUGUUACGAAAAACUAUAUACUUUUCUUCGAAAAUUUGGUAGUGCUAUCAAAAAAGUAAAUGAAAGAUGCAAAUUUAUCAUGAGUCACUCUGUACAUUUCGUAUGUUUACUACCAACUUAAUGUCACAUGCAGAUGUCUGAGUAUCACACUGUAAAAGAAUCGCGAGUGGGAGUAGUUGGGUAAUAUCUGGUUUCCAGUGAAUUAGUCUGAGUUUAUUAGUGAAGCAGUCAUGAUGGAACUUAAGAUGAUCUUAAGAAAAAGAGUUUGUAAUUUUGUAAUUUUUGUUUAUCUCCUACAAAUGUUACACUUAAAUACAUCUACUAUAUUGGGAAGUUGUCCAAUGUUAAGUAGCGGCAGUUCUAUGACACAAACUGAACUUUUGCAAGAAUUAACGAACGAUUGCCGUUAUGAUAAAAUGAGUAGGCCUUUUGGAGAACCUAAUGCUACAGAUCCAAUUAAAGUAUACACCAGAGCAUAUAUUUACACAAUUAAAUCGAAUAUGGCCAAAACACUGCAAUUUGAUGUACACAUGAUGUUGCAAUUUAGAUAUUUGGAUACCAGAUUGAAAUUCUCAGAGAUUGCUCCAUAUUUAAGCCAAAUAUAUGGUGGGCAGCUUGCACAUGAUUUAAUCUGGACACCUUCUGUUUAUGUUUCCAAUGAACGUAGUUCAGCCAUAAUGGGAAAUGGUGUUAAAGAUUUACUUGUUUCCAUAGAUCCAUCAGGCAUGGUUGUAUUGAACACUAGGUUACAAGCUACUCUUAACUGUGGCCUUCGCUUGGAAAAGUUUCCAUUUGAUGUACAGGAAUGUCCACUUAUUUUUGAAAGCUGGACACACAAUGUGCAUGACAUGGUGCUGUAUUGGGAUGAAGAACCAAUCAUACUUGCAGAUGAAUUGCAUUUAACUGAAUACAAACUUAUUGACAAGUGGGUUAAUACAUCAGAAGUGUUUUAUGCCACAUCUCAACAACAUUAUGGUCAUUUUGCUGGCAACUUUAGCACAAUUAGUAUAACAUUUAAACUUUCACGUGAAAUGGGAUUUUUCAUGAUGGACUAUUAUAUACCAUCUAUAUUAAUAGUAGUUAUUUCUUGGGUAUCUUUUUGGUUGCAUAUGGAUGCAAGUCCCCCACGAAUAGUUUUAGGAACAAACACUAUUUUAACAUUCAUGACUCUUGCAUCAAAAGUAGAAAAUUCUUUACCGAAAGUUUCGUAUAUAAAAGCUAGCGAAAUAUGGUUUUUAGGUUGCACCAUAUUUUUAUUUGCAGCAAUGGUUGAAUUUGCUUUCGUUAAUACAAUUUACCGGCGGAAGAAAAAUGUACCAUUAAAAAAAGUAAAUAGUAAAUACAUACUAAAAUCGACACUAACGCCAAAAUUGGCACGGAAACAAUUUCAAAAAAAUACCACAGGUCUGGAACGAUCGCGUUCUUGGUCAUCACUCGAUAAUGCAAAUACUAUUGGACAAGAUUAUUCAAGUCAAAAUUAUCUCACUGUUCACAGCUUUCCAAGUACUCUUAACAUUCCCUCUGUGAAAAUUGAUGAAGACAGAGAUCAAGAAUGCUCCGUAGAAAGCAUUACUUCCGUUAAUAGUACUCCACCGGCAAAACCUUUUUCACGAAGAGCAACUCUUGCACAAUUGCAUAAUUUUACAACAAUGACACCACAAGAAAUUGCUCAAUGGAUUGAUAGACGUAGCAGAAUAGUCUUUCCUGUUGCUUUUAUCAUAUUUAACAUUCUUUAUUGGUCUUUUAUCUGGAUAUAAAAAUCUGGUAAUAAAAUUAAAUAUACCUGACCGGUUAAAUCAUAUAUUUUUUUAAUAGUUGACGUGGAAGUUAUUCAAAAAUUUAAAAAAAGAAAUGUGAAUUGUAUAAUUUACAUUCAUUUCGUAAAUUCAAAUAUUGAAUUUAAAGUGUUUAUUUCUUCAUUGCGCUUUUUAUAUUAUUUAGUCAUUGUUUAGUUAUGUAAUAUAACAAAAGUUGUUUUAUACAACACAAAGGUAGAUUUCGUAGAGAUUUAGUGAUGGAAAAUCUACUACAAAAAGAUUUUGAAUCCGAGGCACGAUGUACGGUAAAGUGAAACUAUUUGUUUUUGUAUUUGGGAAGCAGAAGAUAUGUGUCUACAGAUUGGAGCAAGGGGGUAGAGAUAGAAAGAAUAAAGACAAUGUUGGUGGUCUUAAA